GCAAAUACUAUAAUGCUUCAUAAGUGCUUGUUGAGUGACUAGCCUUCCCCUUUUUCUAGUCUGUUUAGUGAUUCUCCUUCUCACUCUCACUGGCACUGUUGUCUAGGCCUACUUACUAUUCCUCACACAUGAUUCUUCAUUCUCCAAGCCCUAUGCUAGUAUUUCAGCUAAUUCCCAGGCCUGGGAUAUUCUCAUGUUCCAUUUCUACCUCAUGGGCUCCCUGAUCUCCUGGAUGACACAGCUCAGUCUCCACCUCUUUUCUACAUGAAGUAUUUCCCAUCCCCCUCAGCUGCUGGUGCCAGCUCUCCAAUGUCACACUGCCCUUGAAUUGUAUGUGACAUGCACAUGUGUCUGCCUCAUCCCCCUCUCCCUCCCUCCCUCUUUCCUUCUCACCCUCUCUCCCUGACUCUCUUCUCUCCCUCUCUAUCUCUGUCUCUCUCUCUCCUUCUCUCUGUCUCUCUCCCUCUCCCUCUCCCUCUCUCUCUCUCUCUCUCUCUCUCUCUCUCUCUCUCUCUCUCUCUCUCUCUCUCUCUCUCUCUCUCUCUCCUCUCUCUCUGUCUCUUUCUCUCUCCUCUCUCUCUCCCUCUCUAUCUUUUUUCUCUUUCUUCUCUCUCUCCCUUCCUCCCUCUCUCCCCCUUCUCUCUCUUUUAUCUCUCUCUCCCUCCUUCCCUUCCUCUCUCUCUCUCAAUUUCUCUCUCUGUCUCUCUCUUUGUCCCCACUCUCUUCUCUCUCUCUUUUUCUCUUUCUCUCUCCUCUCCCUCUCUCAAUUUCUCCCCCCAUUCUCUUUCUCUCCCCUCACUCCCUCCUUCUUUCCCUCUCUCCCUCUCUCCCUCCUUCCCUCUCAAUUUCUCUCUCCCCCCCUCUCUUCCUCUCUCCCCCUCUCUCUUUCCCUCUCUCUGUCUCUCUCUCUCUCCCUCUUUCUCUGUCUCUGUCUCUGUCUCUCUCUUUUCACACAAACACACACACACAAACACGUUUCUGUGUCUGUGUGUGUAUGUCGUCUCCCCAUCUAAAUACAA
RNAcentral lists this long non-coding RNA (1019 nucleotides) under Monodelphis domestica (gray short-tailed opossum). RNAcentral's name for it is "lncRNA (ENSMODG00000046117.1)". The record is from RNAcentral. Lineage: Eukaryota; Metazoa; Chordata; Mammalia; Didelphimorphia; Didelphidae.